This 245-nucleotide ribosomal RNA is filed under the name uncultured bacterium. Its description in RNAcentral is "partial small subunit ribosomal RNA". It matches the Rfam family "Bacterial small subunit ribosomal RNA", at positions 26 to 285 of the family's 1533-position model. The record is from RNAcentral.
AGAAUCAACGCUGGCGGCGUGCCUAACACAUGCAAGUCGAACGAGAAAGUGGAGCAAUCCAUGAGUAAAGUGGCGCACGGGUGAGUAACACGUGACUAACCUACCUUUUAGUGGGGGAUAACCUAGGGAAACCUGGGCUAAUACCGCAUAAUACCUACGGGUCAAAGCAGCAAUGCGCUGAAAGAGGGGGUCGCGGCCGAUUAGCUAGUUGGCGGAGUAAUGGCCCACCAAGGCAGUGAUCGGUA